UGACGUCAAGUCCUUCAUGGCCUUUAUGUCCAGGGCUACACACGUGCUACAAUGGACGGUACAGAGGGUCGCAAUAUCGCGAGAUGGAGCCAAAUCCCAAAAAGCCGUUCCCAGUUCGGAUUGGAGUCUGCAACUCGACUCCAUGAAGUUGGAAUCGCUAGUAAUCGCGGAUCAGCAUGCCGCGGUGAAUACGUUCCCGGGCCUU
Molecule: ribosomal RNA, 205 nt
Filed under: uncultured Desulfobacteraceae bacterium
Lineage: Bacteria; Pseudomonadati; Thermodesulfobacteriota; Desulfobacteria; Desulfobacterales; Desulfobacteraceae
Description: partial 16S ribosomal RNA
Rfam family: Bacterial small subunit ribosomal RNA
Source: RNAcentral